CAAAACCCUAAAAACCAGAGCUUUGAGACAUAAUUUCAAUAGCUGUUAUCAUAAACAGACGGAUCAGCAGCUGCCAGCCACGGUGACCCGACUGUCAGUGAAUUGCCCUAACCGGCUCAAUUCACGACCAUAUUUCUUUAACUGAACAGAAAAAUGGACGGAGCCCAAGCGGGGCUGUCACUGAUAAAGCAGUUGGCUUCCUGCGACAACAAAACCCGUAAUAGAUCCCUCGGCGUCCUCCUGAAGAGCUGGCUUCCAUCACAAUCUCAAAUCUCCGAAGACGACAUGAAGAAGCUCUGGAAAGGCCUCUUCUACUGCGUCUGGCAUGCCGAUAAGCUGCCUGCCCAGGCCCACCUCAUCGAUCGUCUCUCUUCCAUUCUUCCUCAGCUCCAUCUCCCUAUAUCUGUUCAGUACUUUUCUGUGUUUUUGCUCACUAUGCGCCGCGAGUGGACUGGUAUUGAUGGUCUCAGGUUAGACAAGUUUUAUCUAUUGAUUCGUAAAUUCAUGCUCUUCUUUUUCCUUCUCCUGAAGAAAAAUUCUUGGGAUUUGGAGCUUUCUACUCGUUUGAUGGGUGUGUUGGUGGAGAGCACCUUUUUGGCCGAUGAUAAUUUACUAGGCAAUGGUGUCAAUUAUCAUAUUGCCUCGGUGUUUCUUGAGGAGCUUAGACCUCUCCUUCCGCUGAGCAAGCAAGUGCUUGAUGUUCUACUGGGACCUUUUGUUUCCGUUAUGGGGAAGGUGUCGGAUAAGAUCCUGUUGGCUAAGAUUAAGAGUAAUGUGUUUGAUUGGCUACUGAAAAUGGGAAAUAGGCUGCUGGAGGUCAAGAAAUCAAAGGUUGAUGUUGAUUCUGGGAAUGAUGUGCUGGUGUUAGGUACAAUAGCCUUGGCUUUCGGAUUUUCUGCUAAAUUUUUUGAAUUGGGUUCUGCAGUUGAGUGCCCUCAGGGGAAUAGGAAAGUUUUAUUCGGUUUGCAUGAGCAGUUUUUAAAGUUAGAAAAGGAUUUUGCAUCUUUAGGGAUUGAUAUUUCUUUACCUGAGGUCAACGAAGACACUGAUGAAGAUGAGGUGCCAACUUUGGUUCCUCUUUCCACUGGAAUGGAAGUGGCUGCUUCUAAUACCGAUGUUGCAAAUAUGUCUGGUAGCAAGCGUCUGAAAAGAUGCAAGAAGGCUAAGAAGGAGUCAAGCAGCAGUAGAAAAAAGGCUAAGAAGCAGAAUAAUUUAAGUUCCGAUUGUGACACCGAAGAGGAUGAUAAUGUGGUUAUGCCAAAUUAUGGCAAUUCAAAUGAGGAAAGCAAUCAUGAUGCGAGUUUGAUAACAUUUAAUAAAUCUGUGAUAUCAAACCUCCAAAUGCAGUUUGAGAAAGUUGCUGCAGAAGUGGGCUUGGAUAAGAACGUUGGAAGUGCCUGUGAUUUUCCUGAAGUCACUGGAAAUGGUAUCGUCUCCAAGAAAAGGAAGAGAGCAAAAAGUACGAAUAAGAAGCAAUCUGAUGAUCCAGAAUUGAGCAGUGAAGUAAAUGCUGAUGGCGGUGCUACUUUAAAGAGUACUGAGAAGAGUGCCAAGAAAGUAAGGUUUUCCCUGAAAAACAACUUAGUGUGGAAGCCUCACAGUCCUUUACCUCCACAAAGUUUGAGAAUACCACCAUCUGUGACCCCUCGGGGAAGUGCCCUUAAGAAAGGGGUACCUCCAGGUCCCAUUAGGGAGAUGCCUGCGGCUAAAAAGGCUAAGCAGAAGGCCAAAUCUGUGAAGAAGGGUCGGAAGCUAAUAAUUGGUAUUGCCCCUGCUAUUAAACGCCUGAAGAAGUUAAAGACUGUUUCUACCUAGAGAGUUAUCGUGAUCCACUCUCUUGCUUUUAUUCAUCUCAUGCUCUUUUCUGUUGGGCCUUUGUUUGUGACUGUAAUAGCGAGCAAAUUACGAGGAUAUGGUGUGUUUUGUUGUAAUUUUGAUCCUGUUGCUGUUUUGCCAAGGUGAGUUUGAAUCCAUUUAAUCAUUGUUGCAAGGCAGGGGACAAUGUUCCUCUCUCUUCCACCAAGGCUGGGCUGUCCCACCAUUUCAGGUAUCCUUUCUCCUUUCCCCUUUUCUAUCAUUUAUGGGUUUAGGUUGGUGGAAAUUCUAUUAUCAAUUUAGGUGGUACUGGCAUAUGACUGAUUGCUUAUGGUUCUAGUUGUUGGUUUAGGCUCCAGUUCUGUAUUUUGUUUGAAAUUUGAUGGUAUGUGAAGUUGGGUUACAUGGUUCAACUUAGAAGCCAAAUUGUGGAAGUGGAUAGUUGAUGAGCCAGUUUCAUCUUGAAUGAUCUUUAUAAUUUUAUGGAGAAAGUUGGGGAAGUGGUUCAAUUUAGUUAAGCAGCAGAAAUUGCAUAUUAGGUCCAUUUACUGAUGGAAGUUUUCCUGCAUACAGUUCAUGAUGUUGCAUAUAAUGCACUCUUUACAUGUUAGUUGCAUCUUGACUAGUGGUGAAAUGGAUUAUAGAGUGCCUGUAAUGUUCUAAAUAUAAUGGUAAUUAUAUUGAGAAUUAAGCUGUUAAGUUUCGAAAAAUUAACAUAUACUUUUUAAAGAUCAUAGAAGGAUGUUAUUAUGUGAACUUUUAACAGUGAGACAUGUAGCUAUCUGAAUUUCUGAUCUCCCUAACUGGUCAGUUUUACUCUAAAUGUUCCAUGCAUUAAAUGUGGAAAUUUACUGAAAUGUUUGCUGUAGAAUUGGAGGUAAAGAAGGAAGCUCUCAGCAAAGUGUUGAAUGAGAUUUGAUUAGUCGCUGCUUACCACAAACUUCAAUUUUUAAAUGACAAACACUGAAAUUGCUUGUAGCUUAGAUUAGUAGUAAUUUCAGAUGUAUUUCCAUAACUUCUUCCUAGUAUA
This 2845-nucleotide unclassified non-coding RNA is filed under the name Hevea brasiliensis (rubber tree). The record is from RNAcentral. Lineage: Eukaryota; Viridiplantae; Streptophyta; Magnoliopsida; Malpighiales; Euphorbiaceae.